CUUUUAGGUUGUUUCAAUGUUUUUCAAGUUAUGAACACUGCAGUGAAUAUUAUAAUACGAACAUCUUGUGAACACUAUCCAGGUCAUCUUCAUUCUGCUGGCUUGGAUCCUAGGUGUUGAAAAGUCCCAGUUGUUUUCCUCACACUUCAGAAGAGAUCUGUUCAUGCAACUGUACAGCUCCGUUUGGACACGUCUCAGACACCUGCAUUCUCACUCUCUCAUCUCCAAAACUCCUUCUCUUCCCAGAUAGCGCUCCCAUGAUAGCCAAAACUCAGAUAAAAAACCUGAGUGUCAUCUUUUUCCUUCUUCUCUCU
Molecule: long non-coding RNA, 314 nt
Organism: Tupaia belangeri chinensis (Chinese tree shrew)
Lineage: Eukaryota; Metazoa; Chordata; Mammalia; Scandentia; Tupaiidae
Exons: 3
Source: RefSeq, a predicted model, not a curated record